CAUAUAAAUACUAUAGAAAAUUCCAAGUAACACAAGGAGGAAAAUAAAAACUCCUUUAACUACAUUCCAAGGUAAUAAAUAUUGUUAAUAUUUUAAUUCUAUCUUAUCUCUCUCUUUAGUUUACGGAUAUGUUAACAUACAUUUUUAAAUGACAUGAAAUGGGUGUAAAAAAUUCAUGUUCCACAACUACAUGCAGGAUUUCAUUUUUGAAAGUUACAGGCUGCCCUGACAUAUUUCUUAUGCCUUAAUACAUGAAUAAGCAAAGAAGCUCGAGAACUGACACAGAAAUAUUAAGUACUGAAGAUAUCAGUCAUGUGAUUUCCAAGGUACUAAAAUAUGGUCAAGAACAUUUCUUUUGUGAUUAAUCUUGGGUCCAGAGUUUUAAUAUUUAACAUUUCUAUAAAUGGGCUAUGCAGACAUAGGGAAUUUUGUCCCUUUUCCACAGGGAAUUAUUUAUUGAUUAGCCUUAGCUUUGUAGCCAAGCACUUAGUACUUGUUUGCCAAUGAGUCACUUUAAUAGGACCACCAACACAUAAUUCAAUUAUCUUUGUUUUCUGCUGAGAAAAAUCAGUGAAAAUUGUAUUUGCACUAAUCUGUAACCUAUUACUUGAGAUUUGUUGUAAGUCUAAAAAUAUUAGUGAGUAGAAUAGCAUUCUAUUUCUUAAUCAUUUCAUUUCCUGAGAAUAGCGACCUAUCGUCUGGCGCCCAGAUUCAUCUUGGCUGACACCAUCUCUGAUCUCAGCUGUGGUGUUGUAGACAGGUCUACAGAAGCUUCAACUCACAGAAGGAGGGAGAAGCCCUGACCCAAAGGCUUUAUGUGUGUGCUUCCUGUGAUCUCCACAGGCCCCAAGUACCCGCAGGACCUUGCUUGGGUUGUGGAGCCCUUCACUGAGCUGAGAGCACAGGAGGACGAUGAGCAGGUUCGGUGGACUGUGGGGGGCUUGGAUUUGAACUACCUGCAACACUUUGUAGCAGAGAACAUAACAGUUGAAAGAGGUUGGAGCCAGGAAGACUUCCUACAGGAAGUGACAGGAAAUUACUCUGUGAUGCAUUUUCAGCAAAUCAGGCAGAACUGCAGAAAGGGACAAUAGCAAUCAUCUGCGAUUGUUGGUGUGUGUCUUGAGGGACCAAGACGUCGUCAAAGAAAUACUGAAGGAAUACCAAGAAAAAG
This is a long non-coding RNA of Canis lupus familiaris (dog), 1171 nucleotides long. RefSeq lists it as uncharacterized. The record is from RefSeq and is a predicted model, not a curated record. The transcript has 3 exons. Lineage: Eukaryota; Metazoa; Chordata; Mammalia; Carnivora; Canidae.